UAAUGAAGGAAGCAUGGUAAUGUGCACAGAGAUUGAUAACUGAUGAUAAGGUCGAUAUGUCUGUCCCCUCUGAAUCUUUUUACUGAUUUGGGGGCCUGGUUGAGACCUACAUUU
Amaranthus tricolor (Joseph's coat) is the source of this 114-nucleotide small nucleolar RNA. RefSeq annotates it as small nucleolar RNA snoR100. NCBI's taxonomy places the organism in Eukaryota, Viridiplantae, Streptophyta, Magnoliopsida, Caryophyllales, Amaranthaceae. The record is from RefSeq and is a predicted model, not a curated record. The transcript has a single exon.